Molecule: ribosomal RNA, 484 nt
Filed under: uncultured bacterium
Lineage: Bacteria
Description: partial 16S ribosomal RNA
Rfam family: Bacterial small subunit ribosomal RNA
Source: RNAcentral
AUUGAACGCUGGCGGCAGGCCUAACACAUGCAAGUCGAGCGGAUGAAGGGAGCUUGCUCCUGGAUUCAGCGGCGGACGGGUGAGUAAUGCCUAGGAAUCUGCCUGGUAGUGGGGGAUAACGUCCGGAAACGGGCGCUAAUAUCGCAUACGUCCUGAGGGAGAAAGUGGGGGUUCUUCGGACCUCACGCUAUCUGAUGAGCCUAGGUCGGAUUAGCUAGUUGGUGGGGUAAAGGCCUACCAAGGCGACGAUCCGUAACUGGUCUGAGAGGAUGAUCAGUCACACUGGAACUGAGACACGGUCCAGACUCCUACGGGAGGCAGCAGUGGGGAAUAUUGGACAAUGGGCGAAAGCCUGAUCCAGCCAUGCCGCGUGUGUGAAGAAGGUCUUCGGAUUGUAAAGCACUUUAAGUUGGGAGGAAGGGCAGUAAGUUAAUACCUUGCUGUUUUGACGUUACCAACAGAAUAAGCACCGGCUAACUUCGUG